This 465-nucleotide ribosomal RNA is filed under the name uncultured Klebsiella sp. RNAcentral describes it as "bacterial SSU rRNA". It matches the Rfam family "Bacterial small subunit ribosomal RNA", at positions 338 to 795 of the family's 1533-position model. Lineage: Bacteria; Pseudomonadati; Pseudomonadota; Gammaproteobacteria; Enterobacterales; Enterobacteriaceae. The record is from RNAcentral.
CCUACGGGGGGCUGCAGUGGGGAAUAUUGCACAAUGGGCGCAAGCCUGAUGCAGCCAUGCCGCGUGUGUGAAGGAGGCCUUCGGGUUGUAAAGCACUUUCAGCGGGGAGGAAGGCGGUGAGGUUAAUAACCUCAUCGAUUGACGUUACCCGCAGAAGAAGCACCGGCUAACUCCGUGCCAGCAGCCGCGGUAAUACGGAGGGUGCAAGCGUUAAUCGGAAUUACUGGGCGUAAAGCGCACGCAGGCGGUCUGUCUAGUCGGAUGUGAAAUCCCCGGGCUCAACCUGGGAACUGCAUUCGAAACUGGCAGGCUAGAGUCUUGUAGAGGGGAGUAGAAUUCCAGGUGUAGCGGUGAAAUGCGUAGAGAUCUGGAGGAAUACCGGUGGCGAAGGCGGCCCCCUGGACAAAGACUGACGCUCAGGUGCGAAAGCGUGGGGAGCAAACAGGAUUAGAUACCCGAGUAGUC